AGGACGGCGGAGCACCUGUGGGAAGGUGCGCCAGAUGGUCCUUUCCGAUGAUCCAUUCGCAGGCUGUGGUCCCCGGUGCCCGACGGGGACGCG
Non-coding RNA from Jannaschia donghaensis, 93 nucleotides. Lineage: Bacteria; Pseudomonadati; Pseudomonadota; Alphaproteobacteria; Rhodobacterales; Roseobacteraceae. The record is from Rfam.